UGGAUUUAUUUUUAUGAAAUGUUUUUCAAUGUUAUUUCGUUAAAGUUUUGAAUAACGCAGAAUGCGAGAACAAGUUAUGUUUUCUUCAAAUAAAUUACAUUUUGUUGUUUUGAAAAAUGAUUCAGUGUUUUUGUUUAAAAUAUUUGAAGUAUUGUUAUUUAAAUUAUUAUCCGAAGAUGUAAGCUUCCGCUAAAACGUAUACACUUGUUACUAAACCACCGGUUAAGCUAAGUAAAGUAAGUAGCGUUCCG
RNAcentral lists this long non-coding RNA (251 nucleotides) under Olea europaea (common olive). RNAcentral's name for it is "long non-coding RNA (OEUR_LNC013770)". The record is from RNAcentral. Lineage: Eukaryota; Viridiplantae; Streptophyta; Magnoliopsida; Lamiales; Oleaceae.